GGGCUGUGGCCAAGCCCGGCAUGGCGACUGACUCCAAUAUCAGUCGAUCGGGGGUUCAAAUCAAAUCCCUCCGGCCCCACCA
This 82-nucleotide transfer RNA is filed under the name synthetic construct. Its description in RNAcentral is "tRNA-Trp". It matches the Rfam family "tRNA". From Rfam's summary of the family: Transfer RNA (tRNA) molecules are approximately 80 nucleotides in length. The record is from RNAcentral.